CCCUGGUUAGCUCAGUUGGUAGUGCGCUCCACUUGUAAUGGAGAGGUCCCGGGUUCGAUACCCGGACCAGGCG
Non-coding RNA from Ixodes scapularis (black-legged tick), 73 nucleotides. NCBI's taxonomy places the organism in Eukaryota, Metazoa, Arthropoda, Arachnida, Ixodida, Ixodidae. The record is from Rfam.